UUUCCGUAGGUGAACCUGCGGAAGGAUCAUUACCGAGUGCGGGCCCUCUGGGUCCAACCUCCCAUCCGUGUCUAUUCAUACCCUGUUGCUUCGGCGGGCCCGCUGGCUGCCCCCUCCUGGGGGGCGCCGGCCGCCGGGGGGCUACCCUGCCCCCGGGCCCGUGCCCGCCGGGGACACCAACACUGAACACUGUCUGAAGGUUGCAGUCUGAGUUUUCAUAAAGAAAAAUUGUUAAAACUUUCAACAACGGAUCUCUUGGUUCCG
Molecule: unclassified non-coding RNA, 264 nt
Filed under: soil metagenome
Description: partial contains small subunit ribosomal RNA, internal transcribed spacer 1, and 5.8S ribosomal RNA
Source: RNAcentral